GGGUUGUGAGGUUAAGCGACUAAGCGUACACGGUGGAUGCCCUGGCAGUCAGAGGCGAUGAAGGACGUGCUAAUCUGCGAUAAGCGUCGGUAAGGUGAUAUGAACCGUUAUAACCU
This 116-nucleotide ribosomal RNA is filed under the name Escherichia coli. RNAcentral's name for it is "partial 23S ribosomal RNA". It matches the Rfam family "Bacterial large subunit ribosomal RNA", at positions 1 to 106 of the family's 2925-position model. Lineage: Bacteria; Pseudomonadati; Pseudomonadota; Gammaproteobacteria; Enterobacterales; Enterobacteriaceae. The record is from RNAcentral.